This 252-nucleotide ribosomal RNA is filed under the name uncultured bacterium. RNAcentral describes it as "partial 16S ribosomal RNA". It matches the Rfam family "Bacterial small subunit ribosomal RNA", at positions 524 to 776 of the family's 1533-position model. The record is from RNAcentral.
UACGGAGGAUGCGAGCGUUAUCCGGAUUUAUUGGGUUUAAAGGGUGCGUAGGCGGACUGUCAAGUCAGCGGUAAAAUUGAGAGGCUCAACCUCUCCCAGCCGUUGAAACUGGUGGUCUUGAGUGGAUGAGAAGUACGCGGAAUGCGUGGUGUAGCGGUGAAAUGCAUAGAUAUCACGCAGAACUCCGAUUGCGAAGGCAGCGUACCGGCAUCCAACUGACGCUGAGGCACGAAAGCGUGGGGAUCAAACAGG